AAGUGCAAAACCCCCACAGCUCUCAGAGGGUGCAGGUGUGAGGGCUGACAGCUGGACCAUGAGCAGCAAGUCCCCUCAGGGAUCACAGUGCAUUUCCUGCCCCAGGACGGCCUCAGCCGCACCAAAAUAAACCCCCAGAGGAGCACAUCUCAGGUUUUGCCUGGCUGAGCUGCAUGAAUUCCUUUCUCUUUGACUGCCUAGGCUGUAGGUGAGGCUGACACACUGAAGUUGCAGUGCUUCAUGACCAAAAAGGAUCAGAUGGUCGUUGGGCUGUUUUGGAGAACACCCCAUGGUCUUGGAUGACUGGGAGUCCGACGUUGGAGAACUGCAGUGAAUUGAGGAGUGAUGCUUCUGCUCCUGCCAUCUAAACUGUGGUCAGAUGAAAUGGUCGGAUUAAAUGACCACCUUGAUUUAUCUGGGCUUAAAAUGGACAAUCCAAGUGGCACAGCAGAGCUACCAGCCCCACUGCAUCACCGUGCCAGGGACCACUCGGUGCUCACCUCCCACCAGCAGAAGGAAGGAAAUUGUUCCAGAUGUGUUGCAGAGUGUCCCAGCAGCCAGAAGCAAAAAGUGCAGCCGCAACAGCUGCCUCACCAAAGACUCAGCCAGAGGUGGCUCCCAUCACCCAAGUAAGGUGGUGUGGCUACAAAAGCUCUUGCUGGAAGCUACAUCCCUGCAGCCCUCCAGCUCCCACUGCUUCUGCCCUCCCUGGGACCCCACAGCCUCUUGCAUUCAGCAGGUGCCUCUUUUCCCCUUCCAUCUGUGCAGACACCAGGUCACCUCUCUGCACAACCUGCUGGAGGCAAACCCAGGACUCAGCCCCCUCCAAAACUGCAUCAGACCUGCAGAAACUAUUACAGGAACCCAAGUGACCAGCUGGCCCAGCCCCCAAGGGCUGCAGGGGCUUGGUCUGUGCCAGGCUUUCCUGAUGUUACUGCUCUGUUCCGAUGAAACAUUAUACAGAAAGAUACAGGCAGAGCAUUAUGCUCACAGCCCUUGCCAACAAGUUAUGUUUUAAUGUAAUUUAACUGUAAUCUCAGAGUGUUUUUGUUAGCUAUAAUUAGUAAAAUAUGUCUGUUUUCUGUGUUCCUUGAAGACGUCUGAACUCCUGCCAGUUCCCUAUAGUUUCCCUGACAUGCAGUGUAACAAGCAGACCACCAAAAUGUAUUUACCAAUAACUGUUUAUUUACAUUCCAUGAAAUCUAAUAACAUUUGCUGCCUUCAUUCGGGAUAAA
Molecule: long non-coding RNA, 1235 nt
Organism: Apus apus (common swift)
Lineage: Eukaryota; Metazoa; Chordata; Aves; Apodiformes; Apodidae
Exons: 3
Source: RefSeq, a predicted model, not a curated record